UACGAAGGGGGCUAGCGUUGCUCGGAAUCACUGGGCGUAAAGGGUGCGUAGGCGGGUCUUUUAAGUUAGAGGUGAAAGCCCGGAGCUCAACUCCGGAACUGCCUUUAAGACUGCAUCGCUAGAAUCAUGGAGAGGUGAGUGGAAUUCCGAGUGUAGAGGUGAAAUUCGUAGAUAUUCGCAAGAACACCGGUGGCGAAGGCGGCUCUCUGGGCCUUACCUGACGCUGAGGAGCGAAAGCGUGGGUAGCGAACAGG
RNAcentral lists this ribosomal RNA (254 nucleotides) under uncultured bacterium. Its description in RNAcentral is "partial 16S ribosomal RNA". It matches the Rfam family "Bacterial small subunit ribosomal RNA", at positions 524 to 776 of the family's 1533-position model. The record is from RNAcentral.